CCUGCUUCCCUGUUGGGACCAGACAUCACCACACUUGUGGCAAUUGCCAAGGAUCAACCUGCCACAACAGACUGUCCCAGGCUGGAAUCAGAAGAAGACAAAGAGAGAGAAAACUUAAGGAACUGGAGGAACUGCAGUAGUAAGAACCUAUCAUAGCCCAGCAACAUCAGCAUUUUAGUGUUGGUGCAUCUUGACUUCACAAUGCAACAAACUAAUGGCCCAUAGCAGAGGAAGGUGGAUCCCACAAAAACAGAGUAAAAAGAAAGGCAAUCAACACCUUCCCCAUAGCCAGUGCAGGGG
Molecule: long non-coding RNA, 300 nt
Organism: Pezoporus flaviventris
Lineage: Eukaryota; Metazoa; Chordata; Aves; Psittaciformes; Psittacidae
Exons: 2
Source: RefSeq, a predicted model, not a curated record